CCUACGGGUGGCAGCAGUGGGGAAUAUUGGACAAUGGGCGAAAGCCUGAUCCAGCCAUGCCGCGUGAGUGAAGAAGGCCUUCGGGUUGUAAAGCACUUUCAGUGGGGAAGAAAGCCUUGGGGCUAAUACCCUCGAGGAAGGACAUCACCCACAGAAGAAGCACCGGCUAACUCCGUGCCAGCAGCCGCGGUAAUACGGAGGGUGCGAGCGUUAAUCGGAAUUACUGGGCGUAAAGCGCGCGUAGGCGGUCUGAUAAGCCGGUUGUGAAAGCCCCGGGCUCAACCUGGGAACGGCAUCCGGAACUGUCAGGCUAGAGUGCAGGAGAGGAAGGUAGAAUUCCCGGUGUAGCGGUGAAAUGCGUAGAGAUCGGGAGGAAUACCAGUGGCGAAGGCGGCCUUCUGGACUGACACUGACGCUGAGGUGCGAAAGCGUGGGUAGCAAACAGGAUUAGAUACCCCUGUCGUC
RNAcentral lists this ribosomal RNA (465 nucleotides) under Vreelandella stevensii. RNAcentral's name for it is "partial 16S ribosomal RNA". It matches the Rfam family "Bacterial small subunit ribosomal RNA", at positions 338 to 795 of the family's 1533-position model. Lineage: Bacteria; Pseudomonadati; Pseudomonadota; Gammaproteobacteria; Oceanospirillales; Halomonadaceae. The record is from RNAcentral.